GGGAGUAUCGUAUAUCGGCUAUUAUGUUCGGUUCCAACCCGAAAGAGCAGGGUUCAACUCCUUGUGCUCCCGCCA
Molecule: transfer RNA, 75 nt
Filed under: Pectobacterium phage vB_PcaM_CBB
Lineage: Duplodnaviria; Heunggongvirae; Uroviricota; Caudoviricetes
Description: Pectinobacterium phage vB_PcaM_CBB tRNA-Trp
Rfam family: tRNA
About the family: Transfer RNA (tRNA) molecules are approximately 80 nucleotides in length. Their secondary structure includes four short double-helical elements and three loops (D, anti-codon, and T loops). Further hydrogen bonds mediate the characteristic L-shaped molecular structure. tRNAs have two regions of fundamental functional importance: the anti-codon, which is responsible for specific mRNA codon recognition, and the 3' end, to which the tRNAs corresponding amino acid is attached (by aminoacyl-tRNA synthetases). tRNAs cope with the degeneracy of the genetic code in two manners: having more than one tRNA (with a specific anti-codon) for a particular amino acid; and 'wobble' base-pairing, i.e. permitting non-standard base-pairing at the 3rd anti-codon position.
Source: RNAcentral